RNAcentral lists this unclassified non-coding RNA (373 nucleotides) under uncultured fungus. RNAcentral describes it as "partial contains 5.8S ribosomal RNA and internal transcribed spacer 2". The stretch from base 1 to 133 matches the Rfam family "5.8S ribosomal RNA", at positions 22 to 154 of the family's 154-position model. The record is from RNAcentral. Lineage: Eukaryota; Fungi.
UGGUUCUCGCAUCGAUGAAGAACGCAGCGAAAUGCGAUAAGUAAUGUGAAUUGCAGAAUUCAGUGAAUCAUCGAAUCUUUGAACGCACCUUGCGCUCCUUGGUAUUCCGAGGAGCAUGCCUGUUCGAGUGUCAUGAAACUCUCAAACCGUCAUCUUUUAUCGGAUGUUCGGGCUUGGAUUUGGAUGUUGCUGGGUCUUAACGACUCGGCUCGUCUUAAAAGCAUUAGCUGUCUCUCACGACUUCAGUUAACGGUGUGAUAAUUACAUCUACGCCGAAGCCUUCGGGCGCUGAGUCGGGUUAAAGCGGCUUCUAACCGUCUUCGGACAAUUUCAUUUCACAUCUGGCCUCGAAUCAGGUAGGACUACCCGCUGA